RNAcentral lists this ribosomal RNA (801 nucleotides) under Triticum aestivum (bread wheat). RNAcentral's name for it is "partial small subunit ribosomal RNA". Lineage: Eukaryota; Viridiplantae; Streptophyta; Magnoliopsida; Poales; Poaceae. The record is from RNAcentral.
AUGAUUUCUCUUGGAUUUGAGAAAGCCCCACUAGAGCAUGCGAUGUACAAAAGAGGUGAAGGAAGGGAUCGUCUACUAGUUGGCAUCUACGUCGACGACUUGUUGAUAACUGGAGCAGAUGAAGAGGCGAUUGCAAAGUUUAAGCUACAAAUGAAGGAGCUUUUCAAGAUGGAUGAUCUAGGUUUAUUGAGUUGCAACCUCGGGAUUGAGGUACAUCAAAAGCCGAAGGGGAUCACACUAUGCCAGAAGGCAUAUGCAAGGAAGAUACUUGAAAGCCGUGGCAUGAAAGAUUGCAAUCACAUUGUCGCUUCAAUGGAACCUCGUCUUGAGCUGAACAAAAAAGAGAUGGUGAAACUACUCGGCUAUAGUGGUAGUCACAAGGAAGGGAUUGUCGAUGACCGUAAGAGUACCUCAGACGUGGCAUAUUUCCUUGGCGGAAGCAUAGUAAGCUGGCUAUCACGAAGACAGAAAGUGGUGAAAUUGACUUCAAGUGAAGCAGAGUAUCAAGGUGUGUGGCUAGGAAGUCUACACGGUGAUUUCAUGGAUCGAGAUCCGGAACCGAUGGUGCUCAAUGUUGACAGUGAGUCUACGGAUUUUCUAUGCAAGGAUCCAGUGCGGCAUGAUAGGAGCAAGCACAUUGAUACGGUAUAUCACUAUACAAAGGAUUGCAUGGAAGAAGGUAUGAUGAAGGUCAACUACGGUUGCACCGAUGAUCAGCUGGCGGACAUCCAGACCAAGGCUUUGGAUCGAGAGAAGUUCUUGGGGCUGCAAAGAAGAAUCGACGUCGGCGUUGUAACGUGA